This 400-nucleotide unclassified non-coding RNA is filed under the name soil metagenome. RNAcentral's name for it is "partial contains 5.8S ribosomal RNA, internal transcribed spacer 2, and large subunit ribosomal RNA". The stretch from base 1 to 122 matches the Rfam family "5.8S ribosomal RNA", at positions 35 to 154 of the family's 154-position model. The record is from RNAcentral.
GAUGAAGAACGCAGCGAAAUGCGAUACAUGGUGUGAAUUGCAGAAUCCCGUGAACCAUCGAGUCUUUGAACACAAGUUGCGCCUCAAGCCAUUAGGUUGAGGGCACGUCUGCCUGGGCGUCACAUAUCGUUGCCUGAUGCCAGUUUCCUCGUGAUGGGUGACUGUGCAGGGCGAAUGAUGGCUUCCCGUGAGCAUUGUUGCCUCAUGGUUGGUUGAAAAUUGAGUCCUUGGUAGGGAGCGCCGUGAUAGAUGGUGGUUGAGUGACGAACGAGACCCAAUCAUGUGAGACCCCUACCGAAUUUGGCCUUCAUGACCCACAUGCGUCUUUGGAACGCUCAUGACGAGACCUCAGGUCAGGCGGGGCUACCCGCUGAGUUUAAGCAUAUCAAUAAGCGGAGGA